UGCACAAAAGUUAAGCAGUUCGACUUUAUCCUGCAGGAAGUGGGGGCAGCUAAAGAGUUGACAGAUUCUGAAGCUACCUAGCCGUGUGACCUUGGCCAAGGGCCAGGCGGGUUCAGGCAUGUUCCUGGCGGAAGGUGCUCUGAUGCUGCAGAAGACAGUUUCUUCAUGGAUUCCAACUGCUUGAUUUGUGGGAAUGACUCAACCAUGCCUGUUCUCCCCCACCUUUGAUGAGGCAUCUGACACUGAGUUAAUUCAUUUGCAUGGUGUAGACUAUAGUAAAUCCAGUGUUGGGA
Molecule: long non-coding RNA, 293 nt
Organism: Gorilla gorilla gorilla (western lowland gorilla)
Lineage: Eukaryota; Metazoa; Chordata; Mammalia; Primates; Hominidae
Exons: 2
Source: RefSeq, a predicted model, not a curated record